UUACCCACGCAUAUAAUAUACUAUAUAUGCACCCAUUUCGGUAGUAGCGCAAAGGAAAGAAAGGUCGGCCAUAUGUAUAUCAGUCUUGCUUUGUUUCGUUCUCACCCCCAUUUUUUUCUUGGCUUUUUCCUUCUCACACAGAUCUUCUUUUCUUGUUUUGCCUUCGAAUUCUAUCACCUUCUCCAACAAAUACAACGACUUUGAUGCGUACAUGCAUCCAGAAUAGCCAAAGGAUUUUACGGUUCACCAGCCCGUACUCCUCCAAUGGUCCAAUCUUCCUAAACAUCAAAAUUGUGAUUCGCAAAUACAAAUUGAUCUGCCUAUUAAUCUGAAAUAGCCUUCCACCCGCAGUAAAUGAUAUGGCUCUGGUAAAGUGCACUUUCUCCCUUUACUCUCCGCCGGCGGUCGGUUGAGUAGCCAACGACAGAGAUCAGACCAGACAAUGCCAGGAACCGUGAUCCUCUCCCUGGAUCACUCACGUAUGUGUUUGCCUAGUGUCACUGUUUAAUAUUGUGUACGUAGUUUCUUCUUCAUCUGCCCAGUUUGGAAGUGAAGUUUUUCUGCUUCUGCCAUUCUUUUUGCUACGUAUCUAUGCAUGCACCAACUAUCUUUCCUGGUUUCUUUGAAUACAGAAUACUAGAGCCACAUAUUAAAACAUGCUUAUUCACUAAGGGUUUUUUUUUUUUUUUUUCUUGGUGACUGGUCGCGCGCCGCGACCGACCAGGUCCUUUUUACAGCUGGUCAAGCUGGCACCAUUGUUGGUGCGGUUUUCCGGUAUUUCCCCUCCAUUUUUAAUUUUUUGAAAGGGGUGAUGGGAGAGUGACCGGUGGCUCAUCGCCGUCGGUGCUGGAUGACCAGUCGCUCACUGCAGGCUUGUCUGAUCGGGUGGAUGGCUGACCAGUCACCUGUCUUACUGAUUCUGAACUGACGUAGGGAUUGAGUGAGCGGUGAGAGAUUCCUCUAAACCAUGAUUAUCUGUACUUGAUUGCCAACUUUCAGGUGCUGGCGGAUCUUUCUAAUGCUAAUGUGUCUUCUGCUGGGUAGCUGAAUAGUGUAGAUCCAAGAGCUGAUGAUUUUUGUUGGCAGGAUAAGCCGAGCAAAUGGAUGUUAUUGCCUACCUUGCAUAUGACAUGUAGCAAUUUUAUUUUUUUUUUGAUCGCUUGGGUAUUGUAAUGACGAUUUCUAAUAUACUCUUCUAUUUUUAUGUUCA
Ipomoea nil (Japanese morning glory) is the source of this 1210-nucleotide long non-coding RNA. RefSeq lists it as uncharacterized. The transcript is spliced from 2 exons. The record is from RefSeq and is a predicted model, not a curated record. NCBI's taxonomy places the organism in Eukaryota, Viridiplantae, Streptophyta, Magnoliopsida, Solanales, Convolvulaceae.